AUGUUUCUUUGUAGUUGUGCUACAACGCUUCACCAUCGCCAUUUUGAAGCUCCAGGAGAGCCCAUUUUAUUGGUUACUUUGGUCAGGUUUUUUUGUUGGGAGUACAGUUCGGUGAUGAUCCAGUCCAAAGAUGGCGAGCCACCCCUCCAGGAUCCUUACGAUGAUUGUUUUAAAAGAGAACUAAAUUCUUUGGACGAGCCGUGAACUGUACAAACUCCACUUAAGUGGUAGGACAGAUUUACACUUCAUUCCUCCUUUGCACAUCCUGCAAGGAGAACCCUCAUUGCUGGACUCACACUUAAGGGUGUCGGCUGACACAAAAGAGAGAGACUGAUUCAAAUUCCCCGGGGUGUGUGUGUUUUGUUUAUUAUUUUCCGUGACUUGGGCCCAAUUUUUCCUUUCAUGUACUGUUAUUGUUUUCAUUGUAUGUAUGUGCGAUUCUUUAAUUGUGAAUACAAUUUGAUCAAACCAAGUUCUUUGAGCGUUUCAUUAGUCAUCCACUCUGCUCCAGUAGUCGAACCUCAGCUAUUGGCCCAACACACAGGUAACCGUUUAAAUCUGUAUCCCAAGUGUUGAAAGGGGUGUUACAUAAGCAACUACUGAAUGAUGGCUGUGAACUUGAAGUGAACUCAUUUAUAAUAUUGCUUUUUGUAUAUUAUAAUAACCUGCUGACUUAUGAUGUUUAAAACUUACACUGUGAUAUACACAACAUGUUUAUAGUAUUAACAUUGUCAGCUCUCACUCCAAGAUGCUUUUUUUUGUAUUUACUGACUGACAGUCAGUGGAAGAGUCUGAGUUAACAGACUUUAGUGUUUCCCUUUUCAUUUGUUAAAAUAGCGCCACCUUGUGACAUUUCUUUAUACUAAAGCAAACACUACUCUGGAUUCAGUGGACUGGAUAGGUUCAUUGUUCUUGUUUAAACUUUGAAAAUACAAGUGUCUGUGUUUUUAUUUCUUUUUUCUUUGCACAUCUACUCCAACCUGAGACACCAACUUUUGAGUUCAGAUGGCUGGCAUGGGAUUGUUGGUGUGGGAUGCUUUAUAGGAAACAAACUUCAAAUAAACUUGUGGAGAACAGUCCCAUAAAUUUAAUUUUUUAAGACGUGACUUAAACAAAGUGACUGACUUUAUGCAGGUUAGUUCAGACCCUCAAACUCAUGACCUGAACCCUUGAGUUAGGGUCCUAAAGUAGGAGACCAUGCGAGGCUUCAAAUCUAAUCAAUAAAAGUUUUAAAUUGAUUGCAUAUCUAACAGAGGGCUAGUGUUGUGUAAUGAAGAUGGAGUAAUGUGGUUUUGUUAAAAAGUGGGGAAGCUGGGUUUAAAAAUUCAGGGAUUAGUUUCUUCAUACAAGCUGCUUCCUGCAUUGUUUAGGAGUUUAUAGACUCACAGCAAGUUUAAAAAACAGUAUUGUAAGUUCUUCUAGAUCAAAAAAGAGAUUCAGAUUUCUGUGUUUGUGUUGGUGCUGAAACUGGUUCCAUUUUAAUAAGUCACAGGACAUAUUAAGUCAUCUCCAAGAAGACAGUCUACAGGAAAUAUUCCCCAUAGACUCCAGACCACAAAAACUAAGUAGUUUCCUUCCAAGACAUCAAUGUCACAACAGCUACACAAACCUCAGUCAAUACAAACAACACAAAUUGACUGAAAUUCAUUGGUCUUCACUAGUUGGUUUAAAUAAACUCAGUAAAAACUAAGUAAUGGCAGCUUUUUGUAUUCUCCUAAAAUCUCUUCAUCAUGUGCAGAAUAUUGUAAGACCCUGCGUAUAUCAGCAAAUACCAGCAAACUAGAAACAGGAACACAAAAACCAAAAGGUACAAACACAUCACCUUCUUCCAUAUAAGCACCACGAUGUUCUUAGUGGUUCGUUAGUUGAAUUUGAAGUUGUUUCUGAUUACAAAGCUCUUGGUACUGUGUGGGACUUCCUCUGAGAUGAACACAGGAAGUGUUUAAACCUACUUUCACCUCACAAUUUAAUUUUGAAUGAGACAACGUCACAACCCAACAGACGAUCUCACUUUAAAGUGGUGUGACUGACUUGGCUGAUUAGUGAACAGUGAAAACUUCUAAUCGAUUCACAAAAGGCCGAGUCAAAGGAGUUUCUGAGCCUCUUUUUCCCAAACCUUCUCUGCUCUCAUAAGCAUUUUACCAACAGUACAAAUACCUAUGAAAUGCUUUGCUUUCACUGUAAUUACAAAUUAAAUAGUUUAUUUAAUGCUUGGAUUCAACAAAAAUGAAUCAGCCAUUAAUUUCACCUGACCCUGAACUUUUGCACGUGGAAAAAAACAUUUUUUUAUGUUUUCCUGUAGAUCAUGGCUUCCUCUUGGACCCUUUCAGGUGGAACUCUUUCUAUCCAAGUGACUUUUCUCAGACUUCCAGAAAGUAGUCACAGAGCGUCCUCAUGCAAUCAAAACAACCCUAUAGUUCACAAAAUAGGUCCUUUUGAACACCCGUUCAGUUCAGCUUCUCCCAAAUCAAACCUGAGUCAUCAGUCUAAUUCAAACUGUGUGUGACAAGUGCUUGAUCACAUGUGUAAUUAUUAUCAGGUGUAAUUUUGGUAAGUAAUCCAAGUUAGAGUACUACAGUCAUACUAACCUGACAUGAGUCAGCACUUAAACUGCGUAUGUUGAUACAUACUCUAUAUUACCAAAAGUAUUUGCUC
Molecule: long non-coding RNA, 2655 nt
Filed under: Oreochromis niloticus (Nile tilapia)
Lineage: Eukaryota; Metazoa; Chordata; Actinopteri; Cichliformes; Cichlidae
Description: lncRNA (ENSONIG00000029955.1)
Source: RNAcentral